UGGGUGUAUUAUAAGCGCGACUAUACGACUAGAUUGUUUUCAGGUGUUAAAAAGGGUUGGAACGGUGGUGGCUUUGGUUUCUGGAACCCAGUGCCACGCAGCACCUCUUGAGUGCCUGCAGACGUCGCCCAAAGUCGUAACGUGUUGGAAUUAGCUCACGGCGAAGAGCCUUCGCAGGAUCUUUUGCCUCAUCUCCUGUCUGCCGUCCCCCCCAGGCCCACCUGCUUGAUGGAUGGCACCCCACACGAGCUGGACGAUGUGGAGCUCCCAGUGGACGUUAUGGAACCUGUCGAUGGUCUAUGAAGAUUGUGUGUUGAGAUGGCCGGAUUGGGUCUCACAGUAUAUUUUGUGGGCGAGCAACAGCAAGCAGCUCUGGAAUUGCAUGUUUCCAUGAUUAUGGAGACAGUUGUGAGGCACGCUUGGCUUCAGAGGAGAGCGUUGAGCAGGUGACGAUCUUCGUAGAGAAGAUUCAUUUUGAUGAGUUUAGACUUGAGAGGUGCACAGUGGUUCCGCAGUGCAGUCCAUGUGCUUCACAUUUUCCGGCAUAGUUGGGAUACAACAUUAGUUCUGCUCGCUUUAUGUAUUGUAUCUGCCAGGUGUCGUCGAAAUUUUCCACUUUUGAUAAGUUAAAAGGAUAUUUGUAGGCUACGCAGCAUGCUUGAUCAGCUCAUGUGAGCACUUCGAAGACGUAGCCCAGUGAUUCAGAGAACCUUCUGUAGGCCUCCGGUGCAAAGUUGCAAGAGCGUAGAGCCUUUGAAACGGUCUAGAAAGCUCUUCAGAAGAUGCCCAUGUGGAGAACUCGAUUGGAUGAGCACCGGCAGCUAUAUAAAUUAGGAGGUUUAGCAAUUUCGAGUGUGAAUUCAUCCCAAGUGUGACGAAGAGGGACAAAUCCUUGACCUUCACAUUGAAGAGGUAUCGAAUGCAAUGGAAGCUCAAUUUGCAUCGUUUGAGUGGAAAUCUUUGUCGGUGGAAGGCAAGGCUCUGCAGGCCACCCAUGCUCCGCCUCCUCUCAUGAAUCCAUCGCCUCCCAAGUAUUCGAGGACGAAUUUCGCCCUGGUAUCUGGACUAGCUAUCCUCAUCGUGAUGGCUGUCGGUGCCAUCCUCUGCUGCUGCUAUCAAUGGGAGGUGCAAUUGAGGCUUCAAUCGCGGGCUCGUAGUGUAAGACAUUCGACGGAGCUUCUCGACGACAUGCCAUCAUCGUCACCGUCGAAUUCUUUUCAAGAUUCUGUGGAUUCUCGCAGCACCAAUGAUCCUCCAAGGGUUAUAUCUAUGUCCGUGAUAAUGCCUGGAGACGACUUUCCUCGAUUCGUCGCUUGGGUUGUCCCAUGAAGAUUUCCUGUUGCUUCCACUGUGACAGAAACCUUUAGAUUCUCACAUAGAAUUUCGCUGUAUGAUGAAGCGAACACUGUCAAGAAACCAAAUUGCAUGGAAGACCUCAUGCAGCUCCCGCUUGAGAGCGCACCUUCACAACUCAAACUCAAUGAAGUUUUGCACAAUGUCAGGGAUGUUGGCGUGUCUGCGAGGUAUAAUUUUCCUACGAAUAUAUCAUUAGUUCAACUGAAUCAGUUAAUACAACUCUUCUUGAAAAACAAGAAAGUUUUGUUUUAUUUUGACAUUCUUUGUUUGAGAUAAACAUGUAAUAAGUUUAUCGCAUCUUAAACCACACGUGGUUUUUGGAAGAGUAGCACCCCUUAGCUCCCAACCGGAGUAUAACUCAAUUCCGGGUUUUUGCCACUUCAAAUCCGCAACUGUUGUCUAUGUCCUACAGCUCAAGCUUGAGCUCUUUGUAUAUCCAUUACUUAAGGGUUCAAAAAGACAAAACAUUGUAUGAAAAUUCUUUGCGGUUCAGAACAAAGGGUCUCAUUUCAAUGUAGUUGACGAAGCAGUUGCAAGAGCAAACCUGAA
Molecule: non-coding RNA, 1905 nt
Organism: Physcomitrium patens
Lineage: Eukaryota; Viridiplantae; Streptophyta; Bryopsida; Funariales; Funariaceae
Source: RefSeq, a predicted model, not a curated record